RNAcentral lists this unclassified non-coding RNA (377 nucleotides) under uncultured Rickettsiales bacterium. RNAcentral describes it as "contains 16S-23S intergenic spacer region". Lineage: Bacteria; Pseudomonadati; Pseudomonadota; Alphaproteobacteria; Rickettsiales. The record is from RNAcentral.
UCCGGCUUGUCACCGGCAGUUUCCUUAGAGUUCUCGACAUAACUCGUUAGCAACUAAGGAUGAGGGUUGCGCUCGUUGCGGGACUUAACCCAACAUCUCACGACACGAGCUGACGACAGCCAUGCAACACCUGUCUCUUAUCCAGCCGAACUGAAGGAUCUCCAUUACAAGACCCGCGAUAAGGAUGUCAAGGGUUGGUAAGGUUUUUCGCGUAGCAUCGAAUUAAACCACAUGCUCCACCGCUUGUGCGGGUCCCCGUCAAUUCCUUUGAGUUUUAAUCUUGCGACCGUACUCCCCAGGCGGAGUGCUUAACGUGUUAACUGUGUCACUGAGUAAAAACCCAACGACUAGCACUCAUCGUUUACGGCGUGGACUAC